Molecule: ribosomal RNA, 575 nt
Filed under: uncultured bacterium
Lineage: Bacteria
Description: bacterial SSU rRNA
Rfam family: Bacterial small subunit ribosomal RNA
Source: RNAcentral
CCUACGGGAGGCAGCAGUGAGGAAUAUUGGACAAUGGGCGCAAGCCUGAUCCAGCCAUGCCGCGUGCAGGAAGACGGUCCUAUGGAUUGUAAACUGCUUUUAUACAGGAAGAAAUACUUUCUCGUGAGAGAGCUUGACGGUACUGUAAGAAUAAGGAUCGGCUAACUCCGUGCCAGCAGCCGCGGUAAUACGGAGGAUCCAAGCGUUAUCCGGAAUCAUUGGGUUUAAAGGGUCCGUAGGCGGUUUAAUAAGUCAGUGGUGAAAUCUGGUCGCUCAACGAUCAAACGGCCAUUGAUACUGUUAGACUUGAAUUAUUGUGAAGUAACUAGAAUAUGUAGUGUAGCGGUGAAAUGCUUAGAUAUUACAUGGAAUACCAAUUGCGAAGGCAGGUUACUAACAAUGGAUUGACGCUGAUGGACGAAAGCGUGGGGAGCGAACAGGAUUAGAUACCCUGGUAGUCCACGCCGUAAACGAUGGAUACUAGCUGUUGGGCGCAAGUUCAGUGGCUAAGCGAAAGUGAUAAGUAUCCCACCUGGGGAGUACGUUGCAAGAAUGAAACUCAAAGGAAUUGACGG